GGAAGGAUGUGAAAAAUUGGGGCCAGCAGUUCAAUCUUCUAUAUAUACCCAUCUUACACUUUUGGAAGAGAAUGGUAGAAGUAAUAAAGUCUGAAAUGUGGUAGUGGAGAAUAGAGAGAUAGGCAGAGGGAAAUAAACAUAUACCAAGUAUUUGCUAAGCUGAACACUAUCUAGGUUUAUUUCAGCAUCACAACUCCUUAUCUAUGUAUACAGUUGACGUUUGACUGAUUUUUUUUAAAUGAAACACACAAACUUUAUUGAACGAAAGUAACAGGUAAAGUCAAACAGGCACUUACAUUAAGAGAAAAACUGACUGGAAGAACUUUUAUCUUAAACAUCUUACAGUAACCUCCUUGCAGCUAUAUUUAACUUGCAGUUGUAUUUAGGCUACAGCACUUUACUUGUCUCUUGUCAUUUAACCUUCACAAGAACCCUAUGAGAUAAAGCCUAUUAUUACCUCAAUUUUACCAGUGAGGACCUGAGCUCUGUGGCUGUGAAGAAUACAGCUCAUGCACAGGAAAUAUUUGGCUAAGACACGGCCACUUAUGAUGUCUACAUAAAUAACAGGAUCAGGAGCUGGGCCAACUAUGGGAAUGAAGAGGAAACUGGAAAAAGAACCUGUAACGCCUGAGAUCGCCUGACCACCAACCCAGCAGGAUAGCUGCUGGGGUCUUAUUAAAUUAGCAAAAAAGAAACUAAAAGUGAUUUGUCAAGGUACGAAAGCAUUUGGACUGGAAGAAGCAAGAGACGGAAGUGCUGUUGGAAGACAGAGUCAGUUUCUCUGCCCAGGGAGAGCAAUUCUCUGUCUUGGAUCAGCUCACCUAUUAUUCAGAAAGCAUAUCAUGAACGCAGAACCGCAGCGGACUCUGCUUUUUCUGGGAGAGAAGAAUGAGAAUGUAAUUUUCCAAUUCAUUUUGAAGACGGUCCUCAGUCACACUCAAGAGACAAGCCAAUCCAACUGGAGGGGAAGUUACAAAGCUGCAUCUAGCCCUGUGCUGGGAAUUGGCGGGGAGGGUGGUCCGAUGGCUGGGAGCUAACGACCGUCAUUAUCUUUAACAACUACUGACUUUGUACAACUAAAGUGUGACAUUAUGCCUGCGCAUUGCGUCUACUGUGUGAGUUUAAAUCACUGACACUCUUCAUUUUUUUCUCUGGUUUUACAGACUAAGAAUUGUGUAAGCCUGAUAUAUUUACAAAUUCCCAUCAGGACCUGCAGCUUAAUGUGGUGAAUAUUUCAGGUGAACAAAACCAGAGGGUCACUUUU
Molecule: long non-coding RNA, 1264 nt
Organism: Pan paniscus (pygmy chimpanzee)
Lineage: Eukaryota; Metazoa; Chordata; Mammalia; Primates; Hominidae
Source: Ensembl